RNAcentral lists this ribosomal RNA (423 nucleotides) under uncultured bacterium. Its description in RNAcentral is "bacterial SSU rRNA". It matches the Rfam family "Bacterial small subunit ribosomal RNA", at positions 355 to 775 of the family's 1533-position model. The record is from RNAcentral.
UAAGGAAUAUUGGUCAAUGGACGCAAGUCUGAACCAGCCAUGCCGCGUGGAGGAUGAAGGUCCUCUGGAUUGUAAACUUCUUUUAUUUGGGAAGAAAUGUAAGAAUUCUUUCUUACUUGACGGUACCAGAUGAAUAAGCACCGGCUAACUCCGUGCCAGCAGCCGCGGUAAUACGGAGGGUGCAAGCGUUAUCCGGAUUUACUGGGUUUAAAGGGUGCGCAGGCGGAUAGGUAAGUCAGUGGUGAAAUCCUGCAGCUUAACUGCAGAACUGCCGUUGAUACUAUCUAUCUUGAAUGCCGUAGAGGUUAGCGGAAUAUGUCAUGUAGCGGUGAAAUGCUUAGAUAUGACAUAGAACACCUAUUGCGAAGGCAGCUAACUAUGCGGUGAUUGACGCUCAUGCACGAAAGCGUGGGGAUCAAACAG